RNAcentral lists this ribosomal RNA (435 nucleotides) under uncultured bacterium. RNAcentral describes it as "partial 16S ribosomal RNA". It matches the Rfam family "Bacterial small subunit ribosomal RNA", at positions 28 to 507 of the family's 1533-position model. The record is from RNAcentral.
GAUGAACGCUGGCGGUAUGCUUAACACAUGCGAGUCGAACGGACUCUUCGGAGUUAGUGGCGGACGGGUGAGUAACGCGUGAGAAUCUGGCUUUGGGUUCGGGACAACCACUGGAAACGGUGGCUAAUACCGGAUGUGCCGAGAGGUAAAAGAGAAAUUGCCUGAAGAUGAGCUCGCGUCUGAUUAGCUAGUUGGUGAGGUAAAGGCUCACCAAGGCAGCGAUCAGUAGCUGGUCUGAGAGGAUGACCAGCCACACUGGGACUGAGACACGGCCCAGACUCCUACGGGAGGCAGCAGUGGGGAAUUUUCCGCAAUGGGCGAAAGCCUGACGGAGCAAUACCGCGUGAGGGAAGAAGGCUCUUGGGUUGUAAACCUCUUUUCUUAGGGAAGAACAAAAUGACGGUACCUAAGGAAUCAGCAUCGGCUAACUCCGUG